UGGGGAAUAUUGCACAAUGGGCGCAAGCCUGAUGCAGCCAUGCCGCGUGUAUGAAGAAGGCCUUCGGGUUGUAAAGUACUUUCAGCGGGGAGGAAGGCGAUAAGGUUAAUAACCUUGUCGAUUGACGUUACCCGCAGAAGAAGCACCGGCUAACUCCGUGCCAGCAGCCGCGGUAAUACGGAGGGUGCAAGCGUUAAUCGGAAUUACUGGGCGUAAAGCGCACGCAGGCGGUCUGUCAAGUCUGAUGUGAAAUCCCCGGGCUCAACCUGGGAACUGCAUUCGAAACUGGCAGGCUAGAGUCUUGUAGAGGGGGGUAGAAUUCCAGGUGUAGCGGUGAAAUGCGUAGAGAUCUGGAGGAAUACCGGUGGCGAAGGCGGCCCCCUGGACAAAGACUGACGCUCAGGUGCGAAAGCGUGGGGAGCAAACA
RNAcentral lists this ribosomal RNA (427 nucleotides) under uncultured bacterium. RNAcentral's name for it is "partial 16S ribosomal RNA". It matches the Rfam family "Bacterial small subunit ribosomal RNA", at positions 355 to 774 of the family's 1533-position model. The record is from RNAcentral.